RNAcentral lists this ribosomal RNA (454 nucleotides) under uncultured bacterium. RNAcentral's name for it is "bacterial SSU rRNA". It matches the Rfam family "Bacterial small subunit ribosomal RNA", at positions 340 to 786 of the family's 1533-position model. The record is from RNAcentral.
UACGGGAGGCAGCAGUGGGGAAUAUUGCACAAUGGGCGCAAGCCUGAUGCAGCCAUGCCGCGUGUAUGAAGAAGGGCCUUCGGGUUGUAAAGUACUUUCAGCGGGGAGGAAGGCGGUGAAGUUAAUAGCUUCACCGAUUGACGUUACCCGCAGAAGAAGCACCGGCUAACUCCGUGCCAGCAGCCGCGGUAAUACGGAGGGUGCAAGCGUUAAUCGGAAUUACUGGGCGUAAAGCGCACGCAGGCGGUCUGUCAAGUCGGAUGUGAAAUCCCCCGGGCUUAACCUGGGAACUGCAUUCGAAACUGGCAGGCUAGAGUCUUGUAGAGGGGGUAGAAUUCCAGGUGUAGCGGUGAAAUGCGUAGAGAUCUGGAGGAAUCCGGUGGCGAAGGCGGCCCCUGGACAAAGCUGACGCUCAGGUGCGAAAGCGUGGGGAGCAAACGAGGAUUAGGAUACC